This is a non-coding RNA of Podarcis lilfordi (Lilford's wall lizard), 70 nucleotides long. The record is from the annotation of a GenBank genome assembly. NCBI's taxonomy places the organism in Eukaryota, Metazoa, Chordata, Lepidosauria, Squamata, Lacertidae.
GGAUAGCUCAGCUGGUAGAGCAUCAGACUCUUAAUCUCAGGGUUGUGGGUUUGAGCACCACAUGGGACCA